RNAcentral lists this ribosomal RNA (444 nucleotides) under uncultured bacterium. RNAcentral's name for it is "bacterial SSU rRNA". It matches the Rfam family "Bacterial small subunit ribosomal RNA", at positions 8 to 453 of the family's 1533-position model. The record is from RNAcentral.
AGAGUUUGAUCCUGGCUCAGAAUGAACGCUGGCGGCGUGCCUAACACAUGCAAGUCGGAUGUGCCGCAAGGUGCAUGGCAGACGGGUGAGUAACGCGUAGGGAAUCUACCUCUUUGUGGGGAAUAACGCUCCGAAAGGAGUGGUAAUACCGCAUGAGACCGAGUGCUGGGAUGCAUUCGGUGAAACCUGGGGACCGCAAAGCCUGGGGCAAGGAGAGGAUCCUGCGUCUGAUUAGCUAGUUGGCGGGGUAAUGGCCCACCAAGGCGACGAUCAGUAGCCGGCCUGAGAGGGUGAUCGGCCACACUGGAACUGAGACACGGUCCAGACUCCUACGGGAGGCAGCAGUGGGGAAUUUUGCGCAAUGGACGAAAGUCUGACGCAGCAACGCCGCGUGGGUGAUGAAGGUCUUCGGACUGUAAAACCCUGUCGUCAGGGACGAAGGUG